ACGGGGGGGGCAAGCGUUGUUCGGAAUUACUGGGCGGAAAGGGCUCGUAGGUGGCCAACUAAGUCAGACGUGAAAUCCCUCGGCUUAACCGGGGAACUGCGUCUGAUACUGGAUGGCUUGAGUUCGGGAGAGGGAUGCGGAAUUCCAGGUGUAGCGGUGAAAUGCGUAGAUAUCUGGAGGAAUACCGGUGGCGAAGGCGGCAUCCUGGACCGACAUUGACGCUGAGGAGCGAAAGCUAGGGGAGCAAACGGG
Molecule: ribosomal RNA, 252 nt
Filed under: uncultured bacterium
Lineage: Bacteria
Description: partial 16S ribosomal RNA
Rfam family: Bacterial small subunit ribosomal RNA
Source: RNAcentral